RNAcentral lists this ribosomal RNA (460 nucleotides) under uncultured bacterium. RNAcentral describes it as "partial 16S ribosomal RNA". It matches the Rfam family "Bacterial small subunit ribosomal RNA", at positions 338 to 795 of the family's 1533-position model. The record is from RNAcentral.
CCUACGGGAGGCAGCAGUGAGGAAUAUUGGUCAAUGGACGAGAGUCUGAACCAGCCAAGUAGCGUGAAGGAUGACUGCCCUAUGGGUUGUAAACUUCUUUUAUAUGGGAAUAAAAUGUUCCACGUGUGGGAUUUUGUAUGUACCAUAUGAAUAAGGAUCGGCUAACUCCGUGCCAGCAGCCGCGGUAAUACGGAGGAUCCGAGCGUUAUCCGGAUUUAUUGGGUUUAAAGGGAGCGUAGGUGGAUUGUUAAGUCAGUUGUGAAAGUUUGCGGCUCAACCGUAAAAUUGCAGUUGAAACUGGCAGUCUUGAGUACAGUAGAGGUGGGCGGAAUUCGGGGUGUAGCGGUGAAAGGCUUAGAUAUCACGAAGAACUCCGAUUGCGAAGGCAGCUCACUGGACUGCAACUGACACUGAGGCUCGAAAGUGUGGGUAUCAAACAGGAUUAGAUACCCGGGUAGUC